Molecule: ribosomal RNA, 253 nt
Filed under: uncultured bacterium
Lineage: Bacteria
Description: partial 16S ribosomal RNA
Rfam family: Bacterial small subunit ribosomal RNA
Source: RNAcentral
UACGUAGGGUGCAAGCGUUAAUCGGAAUUACUGGGCGUAAAGCGUGCGUAGACGGUUACGUAAGUCAGAUGUGAAAGCCCCGGGCUCAACCUGGGAAUGGCAUUUGAGACUGCGUAGCUAGGGUGCGGAAGAGGGAAGCGGAAUUUCCGGUGUAGCGGUGAAAUGCGUAGAUAUCGGAAGGAACAUCAGUGGCGAAAGCGACUUCCUGGACCAAUACUGACGCUCAUGUGCGAAAGCGUGGGGAGCAAACAGG